CCAUCAUUUUUUUCUCUUUGUUGGAAGCUGGGGAGGGGGGUGGUCCCGACUCCCGCCAGCUCCUCUCCCCGUAGCGAGGAGCGAGUGUGUCGGCAGGCGAGGAGAGACUUGUCAGGCUGGUCGCUAGGACUCGACACGCAUGCUAAUGGAAGAAGCCAACCAGUUGAUUUCCUCUCCGUGGGCCGCCCUCCUUCUCCUUCCGCACGGGUGCACCUGCUGCCUGCUUGCCUGCCUGCCGCACCGAUACUCCAAUGAGUACAAUCCCGCCUUGGACGCUCCGCAGUGGGGACCCCUGAGUCACACGCUCCUGGGAGGGUGGAGGAAAGUCUCACACGGCAUCUGGGCCGGUAUCGGAACCCCAAGCACCGGGUCGACGCGCUUUAAAAGCCCCACAUGGGAAAGAGAAAGUCGGCUCCGAGCUGACAGUGUCUUGUGUGUAGGAGGCGCAACGCCCCCUACAGGACGCCUGCUGCACACCUGGGAGGACAUUGGGGUCAAUGUAUGACAAUGGGCCCUAAAAAGAUUGAGGUGAAGAUAGUCACGACGCGGACUCGAACCCGUGUUGCUCCUGCAACUGAGUGUCAAGAUUCCUCCUCUGGCUGCUUGCCCGGACACGCCCCUGCUCGUGCUGGGAGCAGCACGCCCACACAGCGACAAGGCUGCAAACAAUCACUCUUCAGCACACCUGCACUUGACGAGAGGGAGCAGCAUAAAAGACCAGCAAAGCCAGGAGACCUUCGCCAGAACGUAGCCAAUCUUCUCUAAUGUCUUUGAUCGUGUCUUGCCUCACGACCUCCUCCCGGAUCUUUACUUGCCUUCCCCGAUCCUCGACCACUGCUUGGACCCUGACAUCGUGACCUCUCUCCAGCCCCCGACUGCUUGCCUUCCUGCUGACUGCCUCUUCGCCUUCCCCCUUGGAUUUGACGAAAGAUACAUCCAACACGCACCGACAACAUCCUCUGGUAAAUUCCACAUUGUUAAUUCCACACAUCGUCCGCAUUCAUUCACUAGUGGUAGCAUACACACCCCACACAUUCAUCAAAGGUUUCAAUAAACCUUCUAAACCGCAGUUCUGCCCUGGUGUUGCCUCCUUCC
Molecule: long non-coding RNA, 1095 nt
Organism: Entelurus aequoreus (snake pipefish)
Lineage: Eukaryota; Metazoa; Chordata; Actinopteri; Syngnathiformes; Syngnathidae
Exons: 4
Source: RefSeq, a predicted model, not a curated record